GGCGAGGUUCCCGAGUGGUUAAAGGGGGCAGACUGUAAAUCUGUUGCCGUACGGCUACGGAGGUUCGAACCCUCCCCUCGCCA
RNAcentral lists this transfer RNA (83 nucleotides) under Deltaproteobacteria bacterium. RNAcentral describes it as "tRNA-Tyr". It matches the Rfam family "tRNA". From Rfam's summary of the family: Transfer RNA (tRNA) molecules are approximately 80 nucleotides in length. Lineage: Bacteria; Pseudomonadati; Myxococcota; Myxococcia. The record is from RNAcentral.